This 119-nucleotide ribosomal RNA is filed under the name Vibrio cholerae. Lineage: Bacteria; Pseudomonadati; Pseudomonadota; Gammaproteobacteria; Vibrionales; Vibrionaceae. The record is from RNAcentral.
CCGGACCGCUACAAGAUGAGAGUGUACCCCUUUGGGGUGUGAUGGUAGCUGCGAUAAAGCAAAGUGAAGACUCAAGCCUUAUCUCAGUCCACCUAGGUUUUGCGAUACCAGCGGUCCGC